Molecule: long non-coding RNA, 1181 nt
Filed under: Equus asinus (donkey)
Lineage: Eukaryota; Metazoa; Chordata; Mammalia; Perissodactyla; Equidae
Description: lncRNA (ENSEASG00005033204.1)
Source: RNAcentral
GGACCUGGCCUGGCACAUAGAAGCCACCGAAGGGGUCCUGUGCCAAGGACAAACAGGAACGCCCACCCAGUGGGCGGGCCGUCCGUGGUCCAGAACUGGCAGGCCACUGACAAAUAUCCUCUGAGUAAAACUAAGGAAGGACGUCAGCUAUCAUCAGGGGGACUUGUGUGCCCCAGAGCCUACAGGGUGCUCAGGGACUGCAAGAAGAUCUUCCUUCCAGAAACAUUCAGUGGCACCUCCCCUUCUCCGACACUCUGCCGGGCCAUGGAAUUGCAGAGAAGAACGGGAGGGGGCCCUUGCCCUGAAGAACUCACAGAUCUGGAGGCUGGAAGUCCAAGAUCAAGGUGCCAGCGGGAUGGUUUCUGGAAGAUUAGCCCUGAGCUAACAUCUGCUGCCAAUCUUCCUCUUUUCGCUGAGGAAGACUGGCCCUGAGCCAACAUCCGUGUCCAUCUUCCUCCACCUUAUAUGUGGGACACCUGCCACAGCAUGGCUUGUCAAGUGAUGCCAUGUCUGUACCCGGGAUCCGAACCGGCAAACCCCGGGCCACUGAAGCAGAACGUGCGCACUUAACCGCUGCGCCACAAGGCCAGCCCCCUGGUGACUUUUAAUUACGGCCAAGGCUGACCUUGAGCAGAGGAGAGAAGGCUGCCAUCCGUGCAGCCUGUUUUCGUGGACUUAAGGAACUUCCUGCUUGGUCAUUUAUAUCCUUUCCCUGAUACAGCUUGCUACAUACAGACCCCAACUUCUGGAAUUAGAGGUUGAUUCCUUUGGCUCGAGCCCAGGGUUAAAUUGCAGCUACCUCUGGGGUGGGUUGUUUAGUAAACCUUAGAAGUGCUUUACACCUGCGUGUAUAUACUCCUCAGAUCAAGUCUCUAGAGCAUUGUCUGAUAGAGAAAGGGGCAGGAGGAAUCUGACCGUGAGCAGGGCACAGGGUUUGCCAGGACAGAGCAAACUUACUCAUUUUAUCCAAAACACCUGGUCUGAUCCUGACCGUAACCCACUUGUCAGAUCACACUCGAGGCAUAGAGGACAAUGCAAGCACUUGAUUUAAAUCAUUAGAUCCAGCUUCCUCCUCCUCACAUUUCGCUGUUGACGAGCAACACUUCUAGCCAGAACUAAAUGUCUACAGUCUUGUCUUUCUUGGCCACCCGUGUGUAUUAAGUACAAAGAAACCAUAAAAU